GCCGAAGUGGUGAAAUUGGUAGACACGCACGUUUCAGGGGCGUGUGUCUUUACGGACAUGCGAGUUCGAGUCUCGCCUUCGGCACCA
This 87-nucleotide transfer RNA is filed under the name Fibrella aestuarina BUZ 2. Its description in RNAcentral is "tRNA-Leu (CAG) (tRNA-Leu-CAG-1-1)". It matches the Rfam family "tRNA". From Rfam's summary of the family: Transfer RNA (tRNA) molecules are approximately 80 nucleotides in length. Lineage: Bacteria; Pseudomonadati; Bacteroidota; Cytophagia; Cytophagales; Spirosomataceae. The record is from RNAcentral. RNAcentral also lists the same sequence under 13 other names.